AUAUGAUGAUGGGGGCAGCUUGCACACAAUCUCUUGAAUCUCUCCCCAAUACUCAGAUAAACUUUCUCCACAUUGUUGCCUAAUCCCAUAAAUAUCUUUUCUUAUUGU
Molecule: non-coding RNA, 108 nt
Organism: Lupinus albus (white lupine)
Lineage: Eukaryota; Viridiplantae; Streptophyta; Magnoliopsida; Fabales; Fabaceae
Source: the annotation of a GenBank genome assembly